AUAUGACAUAUUACACAUCAUGUUUACAUCUGACGAGCAUAUGUCAGAUGUAAAAGGCUAUAUGGAGUAGCCUUUUCAUCUGGCUUCAAUAUCCACAGAUGUGAAAAAUAAAUAGAAAAGACUUUUUACAUCUGACUUCAAUGUACCAGAAGCAUAACUAAACGCGGUGGCAAUACUGUAAUUAUCUCGAAAAUUGUCUAAAAUAAAUAUAUAUCUGGGCAAAUAUAUCCUCAGAUGUAACAAGUCAGGUUGAGUAAAUAAAAAAAAAAAAAAAAAUUGGAACCGAAUAAUUGAUUCAAGUGCAAAACACUCUCAGACGCGUACCUACACUCAAAUAUAACACUCUCUCUCUCGAUGUCAAGAACAAAACCGAAGAACAAACCCAAACCCUCGAUUCGUCUCGAUUCCUCUCUCGAUUCGACAAUCUCUCACUCUCACUGUCACUCGUCCUCUCUCACUCAUUCUCUCGAUCUCGAUUUCGUCCUCUCUCUCACAGUGGUUCUCUCGAUCUGGAUCUCGAACCCUAAGCCCCAAAUCGAAGCUCAGUGAAACAAAUUGAAGCUUCUCUCAGAUUGUUAUCGUUCCUCUCCCUACAACUGAAAACACAAACAGGUAAAAAUACACAAGUUACUUUUAGAAUCAAGAUUCAGGACGAAAAAGAAGGAGGAAGCAGAUCUGUUUUUUGUUCCAUCUUAUGUUAAAUGUGCACGUAUGAUGGGUGGACUUAACGACAAAGAAAUUAAUAACACUUUUGUUAAAGUUAUUAGCCAAAUGCCUUAUUUUCGGUUAUCUGGAGGCAGGAACCACAUAUUUGUUUUCCCAAGUGGAGCUGGUGCUCACUUGUUCAAGUCUUGGGCAACAUAUAUAAAUCGCUCCAUUAUUCUUACACCUGAGGAUUUUUAAACCUUGUUGAAGGAGAAAAACAAAUUCAAACCUGGAUGUUUUCAAGAAGGAGAAAGACAAAUUCAAACCUGGAUCUAAGGUAGAAGAAAAUUAAGGGUUGUUUAAGAACAAGUGGAGUGGCAGCAAAAGCUGCGUUUCUGUUACUAAACAGCUCGUCUAGUGAGAAGCAUCAUCGCCUAGCGACGACAGCAGCGUGCUCUGCCUCUGUAUGUUGUUCUUUCCCCUAUCCAACCAUUCUUGAUCGUAGGUAAGCAAACUCAAGCUCUUUUCCUUCUCUCUAGGAUUAUUCUAUUCUUUUGGUGUUACAAAUAUCACUAAUCUCAUUCUUGGUAAUUAUAUGUGGCUUGUUUGGAGAAAGAGGCUGUGAUUGAAGUAUUUGGAGCUGAGAAUUGAAUGAAAAUGGAAGGACAUGGCCAUUUGGAGAAAGGUAUGAAAUUGGAGAUUGGUGAUUGUUAGAGGAGUUUCAUGGAAACUCGUAAGUACGAGUUUUGCUACCUUAGUUUCCCAUAAUUAAUAAAUGCACGACAACAAUAGGAUUUUAUGGAAUUUAGAAAAAACGCAGAUUAUGAUGUUGCCGAUGAUGAGGCUUAGGAGCUAGCUAGGUUAUGAAUUGCGAAACAGCUGGGUAACUUGUUUUCUUGACCUAUACAAUCCCGAGGUAGAUUAUGAUGUUGCCGAUGAUGAGGCUUAGGAGCUAGCUAGGUUAAUUUGUGUGAUGUUACAAUGGAUUCACAUUAAUUAUGAUGUUUUGAAUUGUAAUGACUUGUAUUUUGCUUGAAAGUUAUAACAUUUUGGAUGAAUGAGUUGGUAUUUUGCUUGAAUUGUAAUGACUUGGUAUUUUAUUUGAAUUGUAAUGACUUGGUUGAAUGUAA
Long non-coding RNA from Trifolium pratense (red clover), 1775 nucleotides. RefSeq lists it as uncharacterized. The transcript has 6 exons. The record is from RefSeq and is a predicted model, not a curated record. Lineage: Eukaryota; Viridiplantae; Streptophyta; Magnoliopsida; Fabales; Fabaceae.